RNAcentral lists this ribosomal RNA (517 nucleotides) under uncultured archaeon. RNAcentral describes it as "bacterial SSU rRNA". It matches the Rfam family "Archaeal small subunit ribosomal RNA", at positions 356 to 874 of the family's 1478-position model. The record is from RNAcentral.
UGCCGCGAAAGCGCGACACGGGRAGCUUGAGUGUCUUGGCAUAGCCAAGACUUUUCUCAUUCCUAAAAAGCAUGAGGAAUAAGUGCUGGGUAAGACGGGUGCCAGCCGCCGCGGUAACACCCGCAGCACGAGUAGUGGUCACUUUUAUUGAGCCUAAAGCGUUCGUAGCCGGUUUUGUAAAUCUUCAGAUAAAGCCUGAAGCUUAACUCCAGAAAGUCUGAAGAGACUGCAAGACUUGAGAUCGGGUGAGGUUAAACGUACUUUCAGGGUAGGGGUAAAAUCCUGUAAUCCCGGAAGGACGACCAGUGGCGAAAGCGUUUAACUAGAACGAAUCUGACGGUAAGGAACGAAGGCUAGGGUAGCAAACCGGAUUAGAUACCCGGGUAGUCCUAGCUGUAAACAUUGCCCAUUUGAUGUUGCUUUUCCGUUGAGGGAAGGCAGUGUCGGAGCGAAGGUGUUAAAUGGGCCGCUUGGGAAGUAUGGUCGCAAGACUGAAACUUAAAGGAAUUGGCGGGGG